Molecule: ribosomal RNA, 468 nt
Filed under: uncultured bacterium
Lineage: Bacteria
Description: partial 16S ribosomal RNA
Rfam family: Bacterial small subunit ribosomal RNA
Source: RNAcentral
GACGAACGCUGGCGGCGUGCUUAACACAUGCAAGUCGAACGGAAAGGCCCUGCUUUUGUGGGGUGCUCGAGUGGCGAACGGGUGCGUAACACGUGAGUAACCUGCCCUUGACUUUGGGAUAACUUCAGGAAACUGGGGCUAAUACCGGAUAGGAGCUCCUGCUGCAUGGUGGGGGUUGGAAAGUUUCGGCGGUUUGGGAUGGACUCGCGGCUUAUCAGCUUGUUGGUGGGGUAGUGGCUUACCAAGGCUUUGACGGGUAGCCGGCCUGAGAGGGUGACCGGCCACAUUGGGACUGAGAUACGGCCCAGACUCCUACGGGAGGCAGGAGUGGGGAAUAUUGCACAAUGGGCGGAAGCCUGAUGCAGCAACGCCGCGUGCGGGAUGACGGCCUUCGGGUUGUAAACCGCUUUCGCCUGUGACGAAGCGUGAGUGACGGUAAUGGGUAAAGAAGCACCGGCUAACUACGUG